Molecule: non-coding RNA, 1763 nt
Organism: Delphinapterus leucas (beluga whale)
Lineage: Eukaryota; Metazoa; Chordata; Mammalia; Artiodactyla; Monodontidae
Source: RefSeq, a predicted model, not a curated record
GGCCCAUUAAAGUUAAUUACGCACGUGUCCGUGACACCGACAAGAGCGUGCGCCCCGGGCAGAGCCCAGAACGCUUCCCGGGAAGCCCUUAAUGGAAGCUCCGGCGCAGGUGUCACGGGCUGAUUCCGAGAGGCCCUGCCUCCCCCCGCGGCUGACCUCUCGCCCUCCCCGAAACGCGGCAAUCAGUGGGAACAGCUGCGUCUGCCAGCAAGUCGGCCGCGCCCCGGGCAGCCGAGAGCAGUUGCACCUGCAGAGCCUGGCGUUGGCUUUGGGUCGAUUAAACACCACUUGUUCUCACAAACCCCCGCGCCCGGUCUACCGACAGGACUCAAGGACCCCCUCCCCGGCUGAGGAGGGGCCGGCAGCUCGGAAUACGCAAACCAGCGCCUGUCCACUCGCCCGCAAACUGCAGCCGCCACCUGCUCUCCAGGUUCCCGCACCAGCCCCUCCGUCGCGGGUCCCUUACCUUGUGGCCUUUCCCCGGGGGACAUCUGACGUUAUUGGAGGCUCCCGCUGUCUGAUUCAUGUCCGGAGGAAGUUGGAGGCCGAUUCUCCACCUUUAAAAAAGUUCCUUGGCGCGUGGAGGAUGGCAAGGUGCGCGUCUCCCGGAGGCGAGGUGGGUCCUCCCUGUGCAGUCACGUCCGGGCGGCGUCCCCACGCGGCAGGUUUCCGUGGGGCCCCCCGCCCAGGGAUGCUAAGCCCUGCAGCCCGAACCGAAGAAGGAGAAGCAGCUGCUGCGACCCGGAGGAAGCCCGGCCGGCGCCGCCUGCUCCGAGGGCGCUCGGCCCAGGGCUGCCUUCCCUGGAAAUAGUCCAGGACUCUCCAGACCAGAAGCGCGAGCAAAUCCAAAAGGCGAGCUCCGAGGUGGGGCGAGGAGGCUGAAGACCCAGAAAAAUACGUUAAAUCAAGAAAAUGCUGAUAAUAUACUGUCUCCGAAUCAAAGAAGAACUUUGGGGAGUUCAUCCUGUCAAAGUUGAAAUGGCUGAUGCUACUCUGAAUGCCCGUUCCAAAUUCAAUUUAAAGGGCUCCAUAUGGCCAACACCAGCGGAAGAUACUGGGAAUGCAACAUCCUCCCUGCCGUGGGUGAGCUCACAGAAUGUUGAAGGAGCUGGACAGGAAGAAAAGAGGGUGGUAAGACGGUAAGUUACAAGCUAUUCCAACAUUGGCGACGCCAAAACGUGAAGAUAUGACAUCAUGAAGGUGGUGGGAUGGACGAUAGACUAGGAAGUGGAGUGGAGUGGAAAAGUACCAGUUGUGUUUGGGGGUGUUUCUGGCUUGGAUGGGAUGACGUGUUGGAUAGUGGCUGAUCCCGGGUAAUAUAAGAAAAGGUGUAACUGAGGUGAAAGAAACACGCAGACCUAAGGUUCGUGUUUGGUGGUGCAAACCUAUGGCUUUUAUUGAGUAUGGAGAGGUUACCAUGGGGACACACACACCCAGAGGACACAGGUCUGGAGGACCCAAGAAGGCAAGUGGACGAGGAGUUUGUAGGGGAUAUUGAACGAGUUACUGGAUGAAUGAAGCAUAGUUCUUACUCCCGAGAACCUUACUAUCUAGCGCCCCCUGACGGGGGUGGUCAGGGAUAACUGGGGAGGGUCAACGUGAAACUAACCAGGCCACAUCCCUGAAGCGUCCACAGACAAGCCUCCCCAUCCACGAUGCAGGCCGCUGUCCAGGUCGUAAAUCGAGUGGACGGCUCUCCACCCAUUUUGCACUCUCAGCUCAGACAAUGUGUUACUAUUUUUUAAACUUUUUAUUGGAGUAUU